Molecule: ribosomal RNA, 474 nt
Filed under: Micrococcineae bacterium CL1.137
Lineage: Bacteria; Bacillati; Actinomycetota; Actinomycetes; Micrococcales
Description: bacterial SSU rRNA
Rfam family: Bacterial small subunit ribosomal RNA
Source: RNAcentral
UUGAUCCCUGGCUCAGGAUGAACGCUGGCGGCGUGCUUAACACAUGCAAGUCGAACGAUGACCCGGUGCUUGCACCGGUGAUUAGUGGCGAACGGGUGAGUAACACGUGAGUAACCUGCCCUUAACUCUGGGAUAAGCCUGGGAAACUGGGUCUAAUACCGGAUAUGACUCCUCAUCGCAUGGUGGGGGGUGGAAAGCUUUAUUGUGGUUUUGGAUGGACUCGCGGCCUAUCAGCUUGUUGGUGAGGUAAUGGCUCACCAAGGCGACGACGGGUAGCCGGCCUGAGAGGGUGACCGGCCACACUGGGACUGAGACACGGCCCAGACUCCUACGGGAGGCAGCAGUGGGGAAUAUUGCACAAUGGGCGCAAGCCUGAUGCAGCGACGCCGCGUGAGGGAUGACGGCCUUCGGGUUGUAAACCUCUUUCAGUAGGGAAGAAGCGAAAGUGACGGUACCUGCAGAAGAAGCGCCGGC